UCACAAUGAUGACUGUUUCCAAUUCAUUCGCAGUUUCCCCCAGAAAGGUUUAGUCCAUGUGUUGGUUUGACCUUCCUUGGAUGUCUGAGUGA
This is a small nucleolar RNA of Stegostoma tigrinum, 92 nucleotides long. RefSeq annotates it as small nucleolar RNA SNORD14. The transcript has a single exon. Lineage: Eukaryota; Metazoa; Chordata; Chondrichthyes; Orectolobiformes; Stegostomatidae. The record is from RefSeq and is a predicted model, not a curated record.